Long non-coding RNA from Rattus norvegicus (Norway rat), 14670 nucleotides. RefSeq lists it as uncharacterized. The record is from RefSeq and is a predicted model, not a curated record. NCBI's taxonomy places the organism in Eukaryota, Metazoa, Chordata, Mammalia, Rodentia, Muridae.
CCAGAUUGAAAACCCAGGUCCUCCCUCGUUUACUUAAAACAACUGACACAACCUCACCGUGAGACUCAUUUUUGGGUGUCUACAGCAUCGUGAGAUUCUCGGUGUAUCCCUGCUACCCUGCUUCAAAACAUGAACGGAGAUGCAAUCUGGUGGUUGUGUAAUUCCCUGCCUUUUGUGCAUUCUCUAGUUGAUUUUUUUUUUUCACAAAAACUUGAGUUACUUUUUAAAGACGAUCUCGUUGGCCUGCUGUUUGUUGUAACCUCCCAACAGCUCCCCAUGUUCUAAGAGACAUUUUCCUGCCCGGGCUGUAAUCUACCUGGCCUGUGUGUGGCCAGUCAAUGCUAGGUCUACCCCUAUUUCUGCUCCAGCCAAGUUUCUCAGCUUAUGGUGCACCAGGCUCUCUGUGACAACCUUUAUCAUGUGUUUGAACCUGUACUCCCUUCCCCCAGAUUGUCUUCAUAACAGCAUUCUUUACAUCUUUCAGUUCUAAAGCAGCACAGGUCAGGACAGGUCGUUCUGUGGUGCAUUUGGCUACCAUGCUUAGGCCUACGUUAACCUGACUGCCAUCACCUUACUUGAUGUGUGGGCUUGCCUUUCUUUCAUCUCCAUGAAGAUGAGGUAGGCAAAGAUGUGGGAUCACCUCGAAAGACGGCUGAGCCAGUGCAGGCACCUAGCACCAACUCUGAACACUUGAGUUUGCUCCCCGAGACCCACAUGAUAGAAAGAGAAGACUGACUCAAAGUUUUCUUCUGACCCUGACACCAGUAUCAUGUCAUGCACAUUCCCCCACAGACAAAAUAGACAUGUAAUGAGAAUAGUUCUCAAGAGGAAAAAAGGGGACAUUAGGCAUGUCCUCACACUUUUCGAGUGAUUUCGAGCAUUUCCUUAACUACUUUGUCAGUCACGGUACACUUAGACGGUUAGUCGUGAAUGCAUGUCUAUACUUAGUAAUGCGUUUAAGGUGUCCCUUCAAAAUCUUUGCCAUCUAUUAUGUAAAUUAAUAUUGAGUCCAAUUUUUCCAUGCUUUCAAAAAUACCUUCUCUUUAAAAUGUGAUAUUAAAUCACAAAAAUAUCGUUCUCUGAAAGCACAAAUAGAAUCCAGGAUAUUACGUAAGAAUCACUUUUUUUCCCCGUCCAGGAAAUCCAGAACCUUCUACUUACUCCUAAAGUCUGGUUAACGAGGCCGGACUCCAUGCCUAAUUCUCUGUUAGAGCACUUGUUAUUUUUAUUUUUCCAUCGGAAUUCUUACCGCCAGCAUCAAAAUUAACUCUGGAAGAUUUAUGUGGAAAAGGAGUCUGCUGAAAGGAUAUUAGCUGUUCAUAGAAUAGUUAGGAACCCCGGAGGAGGGAAGAACAGAAAGAAAGGGCAGGCGAGAUAAAGCAGAGUAUUCAGCUUUCAAUCUUAAAUGGUGAGGACAAGGCUUCCCGCCAACAAACAAAUACCAGAGGAAUGUUCUGUGCCCGCCUCAUUGUUGUCACUGGCUCCUGGGUGUUGUCUCUCCACCCACUUCAGCUGUGAUUGGAUUCUGGGGUUAAACUGCUCCCAGAAUGUGUUCUGUCCAGCCUCCUUGUUUUCUCAGUAGGUUCCAGAUGAAUAUAAAGGCUCGAUAGUUUUGGAGGCUAAACGUUAUAGAUCACCACCCGAUCCCUGUGGGAGAAGAGGACCGGAAUUGUUUGCAAGACUGUGGAACGAAUAACACUCAUCUGGUUCUUAUUCUGAGAGGAAGUGAUAGAAAGAGAUCUAAAUUCUCCUUAUAUUCCACAGGAUACCAUCCUUCAUGGUAUCAUGUUCAUCAGAUCAGAGGAACAAUAAGUUGUCAUUAUGGGAGUAAAACACAUGCAAUAUCGAAGAAAGGAAAUAAAGUCUUCUAUUUUGGACUGUCACAGCAGUAUAAUCUAUGGGAUUCCUGUGAGAUGGGAGGAUCAUACCACAUCUCCCACCAUUCACAGGAAACACAGGACUGGGGGAGCCUCUUUAAGUUUUCUAUGCAACAUGUUCCACAUCCAGGAACACUGCUCUGACCAGUCACUGUGAAGGGUGACAGCAUCACAUAGAACAGAAAAUAGGAAAGGUUUCUUGCUGGUACUUAGUAUAAUGUUGCCAGCUCCGAGGUUGGGACCAGCACAUGUUAUAUUCAGUGAGGAUGGGUGAAGAUCUUGUGAUCAAGUAUUGCAAAUGCUAAUGAGAGGACCAUGACCAAGUACCUGAGAUCAAGGUGGUACCAGUUGUAGCAACAAGGUGAUGCUCAGUCUUGGUCGCCAACUCCUGGGAACUGGAAUCACCAUGGAGACAAACCUCUUGGCGUGUGUAUGAGGAGUUUCUAGAUUUGGUUAACUUUGAUAGACAAACCCAGUAGGUAGGGGAGGCACUAUUCAAUAUUAUUCCAUUUUCCUUGCUUCCUCGCUUCAGGUACAAUGUGAUCAGCCCUCUUAUACUCCUGCCACCAGGCUUCCCUGCCAUGGUGGAUUAUGUUAUGUUUUUAAGCUAAAGGAAGUCCUUCUUCCCACAAUUUGCUUUUGCAAAGUAUCUUUGCUACAGCAAUGGGGAAGGUAAGAUAUGGAUAUGUAUCUUUUGAAAAACACCUCUUGACAAGUUACCAGAGCAUCGUGGAGACUAAAUGGGAGAAUGUGCCUGUGAAACCACGUCUUAUGACAGAGUCAAAGGAGAAAACAGAGCUGGCUCAGCACGUAAAGGGACUCCCGAUCAAGCCCAACAACCUGAGUCCAAUCCCUGGGUCUCACAAGCUAGACGGAGAGAAGCAUCUCACCAUGUUAUCCCUGACUGCAACAUCUGUGAUGACAUGGCAUACCACAUAUGUGCACACUUACACACCAGAAACACUUUCAUUAUGAAGAAAAUGCAGAACUGAUGGCCUUCUAUUGUCAGAUGCUCCUACAAGCCAAACCAGGAGGCUCCAGCAUGAACUGUAAGGCACAUGGAUGCUCCAUCAGGAGACUUGUGCUCUGUGCAUUCGCCACUCUUUCCAGGCCCUCUUUCCCAGCUCAUUCAUCACAGUACAUCUUGAAUGGCCAAUUGGUGGAGGAGAAUAAGCAUUUGACUGUAACUCGUGGAUGGGCUGGCUUACAAAGUGCUCUUAAACUAGCCAAGAAAUGCAUGGAAGUUACAUUCCAGCCUUACCCAGGAGUAGCUUUGAAAACAAUGGCAAGGAAAACCCCUAGCACACAGCUUUGGGGGUGCACUCGGAUGCUGCUGGUGUUGAAGAAGUGAGUCCUCAUGUAUGAACUUGGGUUGAGGUAGUUGAAUAAUGUGCCUGACUAGGCAGAGACCAAAAGGAUACUAGAAGACCAGGGCAAGGAUGUCUUUAAACUAGUGUGUGGAUGGGCAUGGCUGAGUGGCCAUGAAGAGUAAAUACAUUUACAUCAUAUGUCAAACUACUACCAGAGUGCACACUCCAUAGUAGAUGAAUCACUCCCUCGGUCUGUGGCGUCCAAUAGAGCAUCCACUAGCCACGUGUGAUGACUCCAGGCCGAUAUAUCAAAGUAUCAAAUACGCACUUGAUUCCAAAUAGUUACAUGGGCGUGAAACGUUCCUAGUAGUUGCAUAUUGAUCACGCAUUUAAAAUACAUAUUAGUUUAGAUAAAAUGUUAUCAACAUUGAUUUCCUUUUAAAAUGUGUCUCUGAGAAAGUUUACAAUAGCAUGCAGCUCAUCCUAGUGGCUCACAUUGCAUCUCUUUUGGAUAGCACUGAUAUGGACUGAUUCUCCUGGCUAGCUGACAGCAGCUGGCCUUGAUCCUAGGCUUCUCCAGUGCUGUCAUGGCAGGCUUCAGGAUUGGGUGUCAGGGAGAUAGGGAGACAAUGCCUGGCCUGUGAGUAUGACCUACUCUCACCAGGGAGGAUAAACUCCAGCGGCUGCCAAUUGUACAGAUUUCGGGGACAGAGGUCCAUCCUGAGCUCUUGGGAUGCUACUGUUUUCCUGAAGUCUAAUGAGAGACUCAGUGGCCAAUGGAUCACCGGGGCCCUUUCUAGCCCAGAAGGAUCAAAACUAUUUGGGAUUUGUUUUUAAAUAAUGGGGAAAAAAGGCUAAGUAUGAAUUUGCUUUUCUUACCUGUGGGAACUCAAAACCUUGCUCUGUAUUUGAUCUUCUGAUCGGGAAGCCCACAGAGCCUCAGAUCAGGACAGAAUGAGCUUAUUGAACUUAGACGGGCCUACUGACAGUGCAGUUGAGAAGCAAAUUUGGCAGCAACUCUCUGCAAGAAUGAAGUAGUAUUUAUGCUCCAGGUGUACUAUGUGCACCUUUGUAUGGUGAUGUAGCCAGCCUUCUGUACCUGCUCAGUUACAUCCAUGCAGCCAACCAAGGAUGGACGGGAAAUAUUUGAAAAAAAAAUGAUUAUCUGUCACCAAAAUCUAGAGUUUUGGUUAUUGUUUCUUAAGCAAUAUCAUGCUACCAUAUGCACAAUAUUUAUAUUGUAUUGGGUAUUAAAAGUAAUCUGGGGAUGCUGUAUGACCCAUGGGAACAUGCACACGGGUUACAUGCAAUAUUACUCCUUUAUUACGUGUAAGAAACUUGAGCAUCAUAAUGCUUUUAAAUCUAUGGGGAUCCUGGAAGAGCUCUCCUACAGACACUGAGGGGCAGUCAUGCGUCUCAUGAAGAACUCUGUGCAGAACCCCAAAUGGAAGCCAGACUGCUUUCCUUAACAGAACUCACUGGGAAGCAAAUGUGUUCUUCUAUGACAACUUAGCAAGCUCUGUAAGACUAAUGGGCCCAUUUCUUUAAGGGUACACUUUUUACCAGGCACCAAGUGGCUUAUACAAGGCUGUGUAGAUCUAAACAUUUUAGAUAAUGUGGACAGUUACUAUUUUGGUCGGGGUACUUGACCUGCUGUUAUACACGGGAACAGGAAAGCAGUUCACACAGAUGAUGCUUGGGCCUGGACUAUGUCACCUGUAAGCCAUCAUUAGGGCUUUGAGAAGUGGAUGCUUAAGACGGGAGUGGGAAUUAACAAUGAAAGAGAGAUGUGGAUGAAUAUCAGUUAUGGAGUAGGAACAACCAGAGUAGCAAGGGCUGUGGUUUAUGUGAACCCUGAUCUUCUAAGUGUCCCUCAGGAAAAGAGACUUGUAGAAUCCUGGGGGUGUUGUUCCUCCAGAUGUAAGAUCUGGGGAAGAGAUGGCAAGACACAAGGCUGGGGUACAGUUUAAGAGUCCCCUACAAGGACAGCUCUGUCCCAGCCUCAGAGGCUGCUGUUCACAGACGCUUUACCUCUCUGCUUGCUGCAGGUUUGCCUUCCACAGCGGAGUGCCAGAGUGCCUUUCUUUCAGUAGUGUGACAUUCAGUGGCCAGUUGUGAGAUGGCUAAAAAGGCCUAGCCAUGGGGUUGGGGAUUUAGCUCAGUGGUAGAGCGCUUGCUUAGCAAGCGCAAGGCCCUGGGUUCGGUCCCCAGCUCUGAAAAAAAAAAAAAGAAAGAAAGAAAGAAAAAAGGCCUAGCCAUUUCAGGAUACCAAGGGAGAACUCCAAAGAGAAAUAUUUCCCCUAAUGCACCCACCUCCCAACACACACACACACACACACACACACACACACACACACACACACACACCAUGUUUACCUGGCUGGAAUUUGUUGGGCUCACAUUGAAAGCCGUCAUCUCCCUUUUUACUGGGGGUACUUCCUCCUUUUUGAUAUCUAACAAAAAUCCUGCAGUAAACCUCAGUUUCAAAUACUUGCCCCCUCAGCCCUGGCUCCCCAUCCAGGUACUGCUCGUACUAUGUGGUGUGCAUUUGAUCAGAGGAAAGCCUUCCAUGUCUGCUCUCACCUGCACCUUGUUUGAGACACGUGGGGUCUUUUCUCUUUUUCCACAUUCAGGUCUCCAAGCUUGGAGGGCAAGUGUUUAGCCAGUGAGCCAACAUCUGCAAUGAUCUGUUCCUAACAGAGUCCUGCACCUCAUACAGAAGAGACAAACACAGAAUUUAAAAACAAAACAAACCAAACAAAAAACCCUGUUCUUCCCAAAGUUUGAUUGGUCUUUUGUUUGUUUGUUUGUUUAAUAAAUAGAUGGUCGUUUGAAUUUUGCUGUCUGUGGGAGUGUGAAAGUGACGUGCUGGACACAAGGGGUGAUUGAUCAGAUACAGGGGAAUUCUGGGUAACGUGAGAUACUGAAGCACUCUAUUUUGUGGGUCAGGGUGUGCAAAAGAGGCAAACAGACAGUCUGGUGGACAAACCAGUUGGGAAGAAUUAGUCAUAUCUAGACUUCAGGUCAUCUAGAUCAAAUUAAUUUUAUUGUCAGGAAGAAUGGAAGAUAUUUAAAUAGCAUGAUCAAACCGGAGUUAUAGUAUCAUCAAACAAGUGCAUAUCAGUUAACUCUCAAAACUAUAGAGCUGGUGUUCAGAUUAAGAAACCUGAUUGAAGGCAAUGUCCUGGAGUUUGAGAAUGAAGCCUUUCUUUGCUCUGUUUCUCUAAAAUUGCUUUAUCUUGAGCUAACAGCUUCCACCAGAUAGGUAUCUAUAAAAACCUUGGUGUGUGCAUAUUUUCAACAUCAUAUCACAACCAUUUCAUUUUGGCUUUAAGCAAAGCAAAAAUAAAAAUUUUAAAAAUUACACAAUGAAAUGAAAAGACAGUGCAUUUUGUUCAUUUUUUUUUCCUAAAAACACCCUCGGAAACUUCAUCUACAUUGAGUUCCCUUCGGUCUUCCUGUUUGUUUACACAUCAUUACUUGAUGAAUGGGUUGAGAAACCGUGAAAUAAAAGUGAGGUAACCGUCUACACUUCGGGAUCAAUCAUAAUAAGCUAACAUGUCUUUUAAACGAUAAUGCAAUGAGCCUUUUGGUAGAAAUUGCCUGCUCAUAGAGCUCUUUAAGAAUGCUAUCUGCGACACUGGAAGGAGGUGGGAGCACACGCGUGUGAGAACGUGCAUGUGCUCGUGCAUGUGCUCGUGCGUGGGACAGAAGACAGCCUUCAUUUUGGUUCUUCGGGAACCACUCCCUUGUUUACAUUUACUCACUAAAUGAAAUGACCUCUCGAUAGUCCAGAACCAUUACCUCAGCUUGGCUGACAGUGGCCUCCAGAGCUCUGCUUCUCUCUGCUUUUGCAGAGCCGAAACUACCAGUGUGUGGACCACUCCUGCCUCCUUUAUGUGGAUUCUGGGGACAGAACUCAGGACCCUUUGCUCGUAGGACCUGUAUUUUACCAACAAAGCAAUCUGCCUAGUGCCUUAAGAAGGUAUUCUAGAAGGCCUAAGAGUGUGAAGGAGGGCAGAAGGCACCAAAGCUCAGGACAUAAGAACAUCAGUUUUACACAGAUAACAAUAAAAACACAACAAUGGCUACAACUUAGAAACCAGUUUUACUCUGUUGCAAACAAAUGGACAAGCUAUUGUACAAUAUAUAAUAAAAAGUACAGCACAAUACAAGUGCCACUAAUAAGAGGAACUUAAAGAUCAGACUUAAAAAUGCUUAUUUGUAAUAUAUAUAUAUGUAUAUGUAUAUAUAUACAUACAUACACACACUGCAACAGAAAGCCACAAUAAAUACAGGAAUCUCCAUGUCAUUUGUAAUAAAUACUGAAAAUAUAAAUACAGAAGACUACAGCUAAUAUGAAUAAAUAAUUACAACGUAAGGUCCAGGUUAAAUUCUGUUGACUACCAUUGUAGCUUAUUUCAUAGCCCCUUUGGCAUCUUUGAUGUCAUAACUUGUACACAAGAGAAAUCCGUCUAGCAACUGUGACAGACAACAUGACCUCACGGUAUAAAAUGAGUGUAUGGAUUGUGGUUUGAUUUUCUUCCCUUCCAGUUUUACAAGUCAUCAGAGUGCAUGUAACGGUAACGAAGUAUCGAUUGAAAACCUAUUGGGUAAAGGUAAUGCUACAAAUCAGUUGAAAGAUACAAACAAUCAAUGUUAAAAUGUACUUUACCAUACUGUGGAUUUUCUGAGUUUUUAGGGAUGCAUUUUUCCCCCCUGCCAGCUUCCAACAGGCCAAAAAGCAAACACUUAAAACAAUUACCCUCAGAAGAUUGCCCUUGUUGAAGGAACAUUCCUAAUGCACAAAGACAGAAGGACGCAUGAGUCCUGGGGGACGGGGGUGUCACGUGAUUUGCCAGCUCACUACAUCUUACAAGGGUUUUCAAAUGUACCAAGUUCCCAUGGCAGCUUGCAAGUGGAGACAUGGUUGAUGUCUAAGACUGUGAUUUAAGACAAAGACACUGAAAACGGUGACUCUUACCUAUGAAACCAACUGGAUACAUGGAUUUUAAAUGUGAAAAAUAUUUUGUUGACCAAUGCCAAAUGACCUUUCCUAUCAAAUUUAUAUACCCUGUGACAGACACUGAGGGAAACACACCGAAAGGACAAAGUGCCUUUUCUGCACUAAGAGGCAAUAACCAGUACAUAUGUAUCCAUAGCUUUAUCUUAAGAGGCGAUUACACCAAAAUGAGAUAAACUAAGGAGAAGGCAGAGGAACAUUACUAAGACGCAACAAAGGCUGAUUUCUUAGGAACCGAGUUGUAAUCUACAGGCUCAGGUUUUCCUUUUACUAUUUCUGUACUGUAUUGUCUAGCACUUAUACAUCAUCAAACACUUUUGAAACAUGUUUCACAAACUAUGCCUCAGACUUCUUUCUGUUGAGGUGCCUAGAGUCAAUUAAAACAUAAGCCAAAUUCAAGUCACCAUUCAUCACAUUAGCAUUCUAUAGCAACUUUUUCUUUUCUUUUUUUUAAACUAAAAGUGUCACUGGGUCACUUCCGUGUAAUGUUACUCAUGAGGACAAAGUACGUUCAUGUGGCUGUCAUUUCACUCAAGCACCCUGGUGGGCAAAGGCAGCCAUAUUGAGAUUGGGCAAGAUCCACGAGAGAAGAAACACUGACUUCCAGGGUGGUCCUCAGCUCCUGUUAGUGCUGCCUCUAUGUUUUGGCAAACAGAAAACUCUCUGAAAGCUGCAGGGAGUGUCUGGGCCAAGUGAUUUCAUCAAGGGAAAAGAAAGGGGGAAAAAAGAAAACAAAUAUCACCCCUUUCUAGACCUCCUUUAGUUUUCCGGCCUUGUCAAGAUGACAAAUUUUUAAAUCACUUAAAAAAAAAAAUCACUGAUUCAUGAGAACGUAAGCAGCCAUUGUUUCCACAAUACCCUCAUACACAGGAUCAAAUGGUGGCUGAGUGAAUCUUUGGAGUCAUUUUACUCCAUAGCAGAUUCUUCUGACAGUCUCAUCUUUUCCAGGAGAAGUCUAGAUUUUCAUUUGUUGCUUACACUAACAGAAGGUCACCAAGAAGGUACUUGUUCACAAGUAAGCACAUAGAAAAAGGGUCUUUUCCUUUUAAAAUUGUAACUUCUCAGAGAAUUGAAGGGUUUGAAAGUCAAGUCGCUUGACUCUAGUCAUGACAUUGGUGACUGGGAUAUAAAUUAAUUACUCCCCCUAACAUAACAGUAAUGUAUAAAAGGUAAAUGAAUAAAAAUUGCCUAAUAGUUUAUUUUCCCAAAGCAGGUUACAUUGCUAAGUAUCCGAGUACCUACAUUUUCUUUUCAAAUCUGCGUUCUUAAGACACUUAGAGAAUUUGCCUUAGGUAACAAUCGUCAAAUGAAGGGGGACUCAACCUCUACUGUCUUCCAGCACAAUUGCCCAAAUUACCACGACUGUUGCCAGGUGCCUCGUCCACAAAGACUGGCCAAAAUAUGUUCAUAUUGAGAGCAAACCUGAAAGAGCUGGAUUCUGUUGCCAAGGAAACCAUCUUCCCUAGAGGUGUCAGGAAUAAGUGGGUAUCUGUGUUGUUGGAUAUGCCUGAGUGGCGGUCCUCCCCAGAGGUCAAUGAAUGAACCAUGUGACUUCUGGAGCUCUCUCUUAGGCUCAGGCCUAUACAAUCUGAAGAAUAAAGAAGACUCUGAAGCCUUCCAUUAUUCAUGUUUAGUUGGCCUCUGUGAAUAUCUUCAAGAAGAUUAAGCUGUUCCAAGUUACCUGUUGGACAUGACGUAGUCUGGCAGUGGACUGUGAUUAAUUGCAAUUUUAAAAAAUGACACUGGUUGUUAUAAAAAUUUAAAAAGCUAUCAAAUCCAGAUAUCAUUUGGGUCCAAUUGUAUCACUCAAGUAUACAUACUUGAUUUUUAAACAGGCAACAAUUUAUUCCCUAACUUUAGCUAUUUUUCCCCCUCUUUAGGAGAAUUUAGAUGUAAAAUAGCACUUUCUUUUCUUCAUAUUUAAAUAAACUUUUAUAAUUCACAUAGUUCUUUGAAUUAGCUUUUAAUAUUGAUGGCAUUUCUAAGAGAAGGGAGAAAGAUUAAUGACCAACAGGAAAAGAGGGCAAAGAAAUAUUGGAUUAAGUGUGCUACAAAUUGCCUUUUGAUAUUUCUAUAACACAGAAUUAACAAUCAAACUAUCCCAGUUCACAUGACCCAGACAAGAGAGUGAACAGUCUUACUUUGUGUGCAGUAGGACAUAGUCCAGACAGCAUGUUCUAGAUAAAUUUUAAAGAGACUUUCUCAAGUUCAGUUUUCGUCCAAGUACUCAUUAAUAAAUAACUUUUAGGUUUAUUCCAAGACAGAUAAAAAGGUUGGAAAGAGUUAAAAAGAAGAAAUAAGACAUUUAACUAUAGACAUAUUUUAAAGUUACAACUGAGAAUCAGGAAAGCAAUGUGAAUCAGUUUUGACAAAAGCAAGGCUGAUUUGACUCCGUUUAUCUCCUCCUAGCUCUUUCUAAUCAAUAUAAUAAUAUAAUAUAAUAAUAAUAGUAAUCUUUAAAGAUACUUAGAUGGCCUUGCACAUGUGACAAAGUUUAUAAUUUGAACUGACUGGACUAUCAGUAUGCUAAUGAGAUAGACAGAGGAAUGGAAUUGCAGCAAAUCUGCCAAGUACAAAUGCUGUCUAGAAUAACAUGGAUCAUUCCCCCCUUUACAAGGUCGGUUGCUUGUGUGAAAGAUGAAAUAAAAUACCAAUAGAAUUGUCUUUUCUUGAAAUGUAAGCAAACACGAAGGGUCAGAUACAGAGCAAUGGUCCCAUAUAGUGAAAAGCUAAUCGAAAGGAAAGAAAACAGUAACCCACAGGACAUUAAUCUUUGGAGUGAUUUCUUUUCCCAUACAUAAGAAAUAUCUGCAGGCACUAAACUUUCAGCUUCUAUAUUAAAGGCAUCAAAAAAAAAAAAAAAACCCUACCCAUAAUCAAUGAACUGAAAAGGCAUAUGGUUUAGACUCUGGAGUUCAUUCCUACUCUCCCAAAUCCCCUUCUUCUGAUUUAGCACUCAGAAUGGAAAUCCCAAGGCUGCCAAGAUGUCAUACAGUUAGAUUAACGCUGCUACCGUGUACUAGAGAAAACCCAGGUAAUACUCAGCUUCUAGGAUUUCGUUUCUGACAGGCGACAAAAGAGGAAGAUGCUGUGCUGUUUAGAAACAAUGUCUCUUGUUCUGCAUUAAGGAUUCAUGGGAGGAGCUACUAACACGUGACUGUUUUAGAAUCACAUUUGUUAAAGAAAGAAACAUUUUUCCAAAUUCCUUGCUUUUUGUCAAUGUUAGUUGCUUAGUCAUUAAGCAUUAAGUGGUGUGUGUGUGUGUGUGUGUGUGUGUGUGUGUGUGUGUGUGUGUGUGUACGCGAGCAUGCGUGCGCAUGUGCAUGCUUGUUGAAGACUUUCUUCAGAUUGCUGGAGGUCUGUGUUCUACUAUACCUGCUUUGUAUGUUGGCCAGCAGAUAGAAAUGUCAGCUGGGCUCCAUGGCAGCCAUACCGGAACUGACCUUUCUUUUGGGGUGCCUGUCAUUUAUGAAGUCCAGUGCACUAACCCCCAGCCCACCUCUGUUAAGAUAUAGUAAUAGCUCAUAGACAUUAUCACUUCCAAACUUUUAUUCCAUCUGAACCCUUAUCCUGUUCCUUUCACCAUUUUAGUGAGUUUUCCAACUGCGGUUCUUCAGUCAAUUAAGUUCUAUCAUGAUACAGAAAGUAUCUGAUGAACUGAACUGUGGGUGCAAAGCUGUGACGUUGAAGUGACUCCAGCAUGAGCUCUUAAUUCUUGGGAAGUGAUGUAACAAGAAACUUCAUUUCCUAUUAGUAGCAAAAGUACAAGAGCCUUGCACUCGAGGUGCUGGUCGUGGUAAGGACACAAUAGUUACAAUCUCAAAGUACAGUCAUUUUGACCUUGCAAGCAUAAAGGUGCCUUCCAUUUACACUUGGCAUUUCCUAUGUCAAUGACAAUGACUGUUAACUGUCAGCAGACUGUAACUUCAGCUAAAGAAAGGGGUCACUAAUAACCUCUCUCCUUUCCUAUCUUCUUUCAGUCAAUGCCUCUGUGCAGAGUUUUGCCACCUUAAUAGCUGUUUAUAAAGAGAAGAAGAAGGUCAUGUCCCUCCCUUACUGUUUCUAAAGCUCUUUUGGGUUCUGAAUUAAUCAACCCUCCUCCCCGAAACUGGUAGGAGUUUUACUGGCAUGAAUUUGACAUUUUCUUAGAUAGCACUGCAUCCAAGGAACAGUUCUCUGAAUCUCUUUUCCCUGAAUCCAGACUUAUUUCCUAAGCUCCAGGAAGAUGUAGUAAGUUCCAUCAAUUUAGGGAAAAUCAGCACUGUACAGACGCAGGUUGUACAGAAUAGAGAAGAAUUGGUGACAGCGUUUCCAUCAGGACGGGGAGGAUUCUAAUGGAGAAGGAGCUGAAGAGGCUUGACCAUCUCACAUCAUCCACCCUUGUCCUCACUCUUCGAAAUAUGGGAGUUGCCUGCUCUUUUUGCUACCAGGACAGUUGUUAUAAUAUAGGAGGUGUUCAAUAAAUAUUUGUUAAAAGAAAAAAGUGGAUAUCUAACACAUUCUGAAGAUCAAUGCUAAGUUAUUAAGAGCUUGUACAAGGCAGCAAUAAAAAAAAAGUGAGGUAUCUAUUGUGAAAUAAAUUAUGGUAUAUCUUGUUUAAUAAUAAAAUCUAACUCAAAAUUUUGGCUACAAUAUAACCUUAGCAUUUCUUGAGAAUUGUGACAAGUUGCUAUACGGGCUGUUUUGUAGGAAUGAGCAGAAGGAGGUGGUACUGCUGGGUCAUGUGAUUAUAAGGAUUUCCUCCCUUGAAGAAAUGUUAGAUAGUUUAUAUGUGGUUGGCAUGGCAUGGUGAGAAAAAUGUAAUUCUAUCACAAGACUGACUUUCAAAAAGUCUGCUCUUCAAUUUACCAAAAGAAAAGAGACAAUUAGAUUUUACAUACAUUUUAAUAUUGGAUAAUCAACAGAUGGGGAGGGACUUAAAAUAUUCUUUAUCUAUUUCUUUCUACCGAUGAAAAUUUAAAAAAAAAAAUUAAAGGGGAUUGAGGCUGCUCAGGCUACUUGACUUGUAAAUAAGUCUGGCCAGAAUAGCUGGGAAUCAAAUUGUUAAAGAGUGUGGAGCAUUGAGCUUUGCAGUUGAUAGUGCUUGACUUGGGAACUGUGUGCAGAGAGAGGCUCUGAUUUGGUUAGAUAUACUACAGAAGCAACACGACAGCUUCAAGUCAAAUCGUUGUUCCUUGGUACAAAGAUUUAAAGCGUCUCAACCUGGUUCCAGCAAAUUGCUCCUCUCCCUUUGAAAAGCAGUAAUCAUUGUGGCACUGCCUGGCACGUGGACAGUUCUAUUGAGGAGGUCUAUUAGCAGGAAGAACAAUCCAGAAGAAUCAUUGCAUUCUCAAUUUAGUUCCUUCUGGGAAAGGUAGUCACAAUGAAAUAAUUCCUCACUAAUAUUACUUGUGACUUUAACUCAAUAUUUUCAACCAUUUGCUCUCAAAAUUCACCUCUCUUUAUAUUUUUAGAUAAACCAGAACCUGAUUGUACUGUAGGGACUAACUAUCCAGUACUCAUUCCUAGCUGCUGCCUACCAUCUGCCCCAUGGUGUGUGUGUGUGUGUGUGUGUGUGUGUGUGUGUGUGUGUGUGUGUGUGUGUGUGUGUGUGUAUUCUGUGUUUGUGUGUGCCUAAUAAAGAUAAGGUAUGCAGGGCUUGAUUUGUUAUUGUUGUUAAAAUGGGCAGCCUGCACCUGUCAUGAUUUUUGAGGGAUGUCUACUUAGGGGUGUGGAAACUUAAGAGUGGCAGCUUUCAUGCUUAGAAAGGCAAUUAUCCUCAGAGUGAAACUUUCUAUCUCCAUUGAAUAGAGAGAGGGAGAAAGCUCUGUUUCUGAAGUAUCCUUUGGUGGAAAACUAAAGCUGCAAAAGAGAGACCCAAGAAGAUACAAAAAUGCUUCAGACCUUGUGUCUAUAAAGCUGGAGUGAAAGGAACAUCUCUGAGGAUCCAGGGAGUGGACUGUCAUUACCAAACCACCCGAACCUAGUCAGGACUACCCUGGGCCUCCACACAGUCCAUUCUAAGAAUAGCCAGUGAGUGAGUGCCUCGCCAGUAGAUAUUUCCAGAGGUUGGAAUGGCCCAGCAAAUACAGAACACAGAAUUCUUUUAUCUGCUCGAAUGGAGGAACAACAGCCUCUUGUCAUUUCUUCUUUGAGCCCCUGCGUAGGCGGGAGGCAGUGCAACUGGAAAUCGAACACUAACAAAGGCAACACUGCAGAGGGCUCUGGACAUAUUACUGCAAUCUGAGUAAACACCCAUCAGAUUAGCCCCGAUGAUCAACCAAAAGGAAUAGUUGGCCCCCACUGCUGCUUUCGAUAGCAUGACACCACCCAAAGUGCUUUUAAUGUUAGUAAAAACUAGUGUUGAUUUAAUCAUGAGGUGGCGUAGAGAAGGGCAGGAACAACCCCACAAGCGAGCAUACUUUCCCCACCUGGAGUUUAAAUAGAGGCUUCUCACCAGAGGACUCUGAAGCACAUUCAA